RNAcentral lists this ribosomal RNA (461 nucleotides) under uncultured bacterium. RNAcentral's name for it is "partial 16S ribosomal RNA". It matches the Rfam family "Bacterial small subunit ribosomal RNA", at positions 338 to 795 of the family's 1533-position model. The record is from RNAcentral.
CCUACGGGAGGCAGCAGUGAGGAAUAUUGGUCAAUGGGCGAGAGCCUGAACCAGCCAAGUCGCGUGAAGGAUGACGGCCCUACGGGUUGUAAACUUCUUUUGUCCGGGAGCAAUUGGGUCCACGCGUGGGCUUAGCGAGAGUACCUGAAGACAAAGCAUCGGCUAACUCUGUGCCAGCAGCCGCGAUUAUCCGGAGGAUGCGAGCGUUAUCCGGAUUUAUUGGGUUUAAAGGGUGCGUAGGCGGAUUGUUAAGUCAGUUGUGAAAGUUUGCGGCUCAACCGUAAAAUUGCAGUUGAAACUGGCAGUCUUGAGUACAGUAGAGGUGUGCGGAAUUCGUGGUGUAGCGGUGAAAUGCUUAGAUAUCACGAAGAACUCCGAUGGCGAAGGCAGCUCACUGGACUGCAACUGACACUGAGGCUCGAAAGUGUGGGUAUCAAACAGGAUUAGAUACCCUAGUAGUC